UAAUUGAAUUAUAUUCUGAAACAUUUGUUUAGUAUUAUUUCCAUGCUUAAUAAAAUCAUUAUAUUUCUGCAUAAAUAAAUAAACAUUUACAAAGAGGGGGAAGAACGAGAAGAAUCAGAGACGAAGGUGUCAUUCUCUGAAUCAUUGACGACCAAUCAAUCGAUCAACAACUGAUCAAAUGGACAAUUCAUUGAUGGCCUGUAGACAUGCAGCCAAUCGUCUUCCUUCCUUCUCCAUACAUGAAAUCCCCCAUUGGGUAUUAUAUCAUAUUAUAUUUAUAUACCGCAUAAUGUAAUUAUCUCUCAGGUUCAGAAAAAUUUAACAAAAUAACAUAGCAGAUGUGUGUGUGUGUGUGUGUUUGUGGAUGCAGCCCAAAUGACAAUCUCUUCCCUACUGUACGUAGUUCACUAAGUAAUGCACUCUGUAGGGGACAGGCUGUCAUUUAGGAUGUAUAUUAUGUGUGUGUUUGUAUGUACAUAGUAAAUCACCAGGCAGCAGUCAGAAGAGUAGUUAUCCCAAAAAAAAUUACAUUUAGAAAAAAAUUCAUGUGCACAGGAAAAUCUUUGAACGAACACACCGACUGGAAAUGAGGGAAGUUAUGUUGUUUGUUUUGUUUUUAACAAAUAAAACAAAUACAUUUCAGGGAUUUAUCCAAAUGUAUCCAAUCAUAACCCCAAAAGCCUCCCCCAUUCCUUUGUGCGUUUCAGAUUGACUGACACGUAUCGGUCUCGUAUGAAAAGGAUCACACACAGAGGCUGCUCACUUACAGAUAGUAUCAAAAAGACCCAUUUCAAUAGGAGUCAAAGUAACAUGGCAUCUUUGGAAAAGUGGAUCAGGCUACACCCUUCAGACCAAUGCAUUUUGAGAAGACAGGAAUCAAGGAAAGACAAUUGAGAUUGGAUAGGUCUGUUUAGGUUAGGGGUACCGGUUCUUGUAGCAGGUUAGGUUAGGGGUACCGGUUCUUGUAGCAGGUUAGGUUAGGGGUACCAGUUCUUGUAGCAGGUUAGGUUAAGAGUGCCUUUUCAACACGGACACUUGAGCGAGUUGACAGGGUAGAUCAGAUCAUGCUUUUAACUAGCCUGGAAUCCAAGCUAAUAUGCUUACAGUCUUGUUUCACCAGUCUAGCUUUUAAGGUGUAGCGAGGACAACAAGACAUCAUGACCAUGUAUUCAUUGAGGAGAGAAGACUCUCCACGCUGUCACUCUCUCUGCCCUUCCACCACUUUGAAACCAGCUCAAAUUUACACAAAACACCUCCAUUUACAGGCAGGACUUAUUUUAUUAAUUGUUUUUCUGCAUGGAAUCCCAAAAAUAAUAAGUAAAGACAAACUGGAGAACACAAGAUGUGAUCAAUUCAGGAGAAAGGAGAGAAAAAAAUGUUUUGGGAGAUUUCACUUUUUUUUUUAUUUUUAUGGCAAACAAAAAGUUGUAUUCCAAAUGGCACCAGUUUCCCUAUAUAGUGCACUACUUUUGACCAGAGCCCUGUUCCCUAUAUAGUGCACUACUUUAGACCAGAGCCCUAUGGCUUAGGGUUGGUCCUAGAACUGCUACCCAGAGCUCCAUGCCCACCAGAUUCAGGGACUGUAUGAAUCCGGGGAGUCCAGAGAAGGGCAUCUGUUUUGGGCCACAAAGAUUGAGGAUAGCCCUUAACUUCCAAACCACCACUCAACAACCCCCCUUACAUAGGUGCUGCUAUAGCAAGGCUAUCCUUUAGACAAAGACACAUUUCAGAAAGACUACAGGCCUCAUCUUUCAUAAGGAUUAUAUAUCACCCUUAGCCAGCCGAUUGGCUAUCGAUGCAUAUAUAUUCCAAUCCAAGACAGUUUUAAAGUUUCCAGGAUUGAUGGACACUGUGGAGUGGGGACAUGCCCACUCACAGCAGAAGCAGUGAAGGCCAAUGACAGAGCCCAGAGAAACAGGAAGUUAGAUGGGGAUUCUAAAGCCGUAUCUAAAGGAGAACGAAGAAGAGACAGCACCUUGGGGGUAAUUCUAGAGCUGGGUCUACCUGACAGUAUACAAGGAGGGGGAUAUUUUAUAACUAUAAUCUACCCGGCACUGGAUGAGACCAGAGGAAGAAUCUAGAGCUGUACGUACUAGACAGGCAUUGGAGAGACCAGAGGAAGAAUCUAGAGCUGUACAUACUAGACAGGCAUUGAGAGACCAGAGGAAGAAUCUAGAGCUGUACAUACUAGACAGGCAUUGGAGAGACCAGAGGAAGAGAGUAACAGAGUUUCAUAAAAGGUGUUAUGUUAAUAUACAUCAUUAUCAUUUAGGUUUAUGACAUCUAAGCAGGUGUCUGGAGAGGUUGGACUUGCGAGCAAAGCUGAGAAAGCAGUACAUACUAGACAGGCAUUGGAGACCAGAGGAAGAAUCUAGAGCUGUACAUACUAGACAGGCAUUGGAGACCAGAGGAAGAAUCUAGAGCUGUAUGUACAUCAGGUAGCAUAGUCAUCAUAGACUUCAGCGCCAAGAUAUUAGCCUGGUCCCAGGUCUGUUUGUGCUUUUGCCUACUCUACUGUCAGCAUUUAGCAUGACAAUUACAUAAGAAGUUGGCAAGAGAGCACAGACCUGCUACCAAGAUCCAGGAAACAGACCUGCUACCAAGAUCCAGGAAACAGACCUGCUACCAAGAUCCAGGAAACAGACCUGCUACCAAGAUCCAGGAAACAGACCUGCUACCAAGAUCCAGGAAACAGACCUGCUACCAAGAUCCAGGAAACAGACCUGCUACCAAGAUCCAGGAAACAGAGCGAAAACAGCCCUGGGUGAGCAACACAUGAGCAGGAAAACACACCAAUGCGUUUUAUACAAGGGAAUUACGACAGUGGAAAUUGUGGCCAUUUGUCCAAAAGAUGUUAACCCCACACCUAUUUCACCUGAGCCCCAAUAGUUACACUGACAUCCUUUCAUAAAGCAAUCUGGGAACUAGAGUGUUAUCAAACCAGUAGUGGCUUGUCCAUUUUACACUCCAUGUGUCCCAAAAAGUAUUUA
Long non-coding RNA from Oncorhynchus tshawytscha (Chinook salmon), 2990 nucleotides. RefSeq lists it as uncharacterized. The record is from RefSeq and is a predicted model, not a curated record. NCBI's taxonomy places the organism in Eukaryota, Metazoa, Chordata, Actinopteri, Salmoniformes, Salmonidae. The transcript is spliced from 2 exons.